GAGUUUGAUCAUGGCUCAGAUUGAACGCUGGCGGCAGGCCUAAGACAUGCAGGGCGAACGAACUAUUGGGGCUUGCUCUAAUAGUUAGUGGCGAACGGGUGAGUAAUGCCUAGGAAUCUGCCUUAUAGUGGGGGAUAACGUUUCGAAAGGAACGCUAAUACCGCAUACGUCCUACGGGAGAAAGGGGGCAUUUAUGCUCUCGCUAUUAGAUGAGCCUAGGUCAGAUUAGCUAGUUGGUAGGGUAAAGGCCUACCAAGGCUACGAUCUGUAGCGGGUCUGAGAGGAUGAUCCGCCACACUGGAACUGAGACACGGUCCAGACUCCUA
This 326-nucleotide ribosomal RNA is filed under the name uncultured bacterium. RNAcentral's name for it is "bacterial SSU rRNA". It matches the Rfam family "Bacterial small subunit ribosomal RNA", at positions 9 to 341 of the family's 1533-position model. The record is from RNAcentral.